CCCUUAGAUGCUCUGGGCCGCACGCGCGCUACACUGGUCGAUGCAACGAGUUUCUUUCCUUGGCCGACAGGCCUGGGCAAUCUUUGAACAUCGAUCGUGAUCGGGAUAGAUUCUUGUAAUUUUUGAUCUUAAACGAGGAAUUCCUAGUAAACGCAAGUCAUCAGCUUGCAUUGAUUACGUCCCUGCCCUUUGUACACACCGCCCGUCGCACCUACCGAUUGAAUGGUCCGGUGAAGCCUCGGGAAUGUGACCAGUUCGCUUCAUUGUGAGUUGGUUGCGUGAACUUGUCUAAACCUUNUNAUUUAUNGGAAGGUGAANUCGUANCA
RNAcentral lists this ribosomal RNA (326 nucleotides) under uncultured eukaryote. RNAcentral's name for it is "partial 18S ribosomal RNA". It matches the Rfam family "Eukaryotic small subunit ribosomal RNA", at positions 1470 to 1796 of the family's 1831-position model. The record is from RNAcentral.